RNAcentral lists this ribosomal RNA (424 nucleotides) under Acidobacteriota bacterium. Its description in RNAcentral is "Acidobacteria bacterium partial 16S ribosomal RNA". It matches the Rfam family "Bacterial small subunit ribosomal RNA", at positions 355 to 776 of the family's 1533-position model. Lineage: Bacteria; Pseudomonadati; Acidobacteriota. The record is from RNAcentral.
UAGGGAAUAUUGGGCAAUGGACGAGAGUCUGACCCAGCCAUGCCGCGUGCAGGAAGAAGGCUUUCUGAGUCGUAAACUGCUUUUGAUAGGGAAGAAUAAGCUGCUCGUGAGCAGUGAUGACGGUACCUACAGAAUAAGCACCGGCUAACUCCGUGCCAGCAGCCGCGGUAAUACGGAGGGUGCGAGCGUUGUCCGGAUUUAUUGGGUUUAAAGGGUGCGUAGGCGGCCCGUUAAGUCCGGGGUGAAAGCCCGUUGCUCAACAACGGAACUGCCCUGGAUACUGGCGGGCUUGAGUACAGUGGAGGUUGGCGGAAUGGACCGAGUAGCGGUGAAAUGCAUAGAUACGGUCCAGAACCCCGAUUGCGAAGGCAGCUGACUACACUGGAACUGACGCUGAGGCACGACAGCGUGGGGAGCGAACAGG